GUGAACGCUGGCGGUAGGCCUAACACAUGCAAGUCGAACGGCAGCACAGUAAGAGCUUGCUCUUACGGGUGGCGAGUGGCGGACGGGUGAGGAAUACAUCAGAAUCUACUUUUUCGUGGGGGAUAACGUAGGGAAACUUACGCUAAUACCGCAUACGACCUACGGGUGAAAGCAGGGGAUCUUCGGACCUUGCGCGAUUGAAUGAGCCGAUGUCGGAUUAGCUAGUUGGCGGGGUAAAGGCCCACCAAGGCGACGAUCCGUAGCUGGUCUGAGAGGAUGAUCAGCCACACUGGAACUGAGACACGGUCCAGACUCCUACGGGAGGCAGCAGUGGGGAAUAUUGGACAAUGGGCGCAAGCCUGAUCCAGCCAUACCGCGUGGGUGAAGAAGGCCUUCGGGUUGUAAAGCCCUUUUGUUGGGAAAGAAAAGCAGCAGGUUAAUACCCCGCUGUUCUGACGGUACCCAAAGAAUAAGCACCGGCUAACUUCGUG
This 491-nucleotide ribosomal RNA is filed under the name uncultured bacterium. RNAcentral describes it as "partial 16S ribosomal RNA". It matches the Rfam family "Bacterial small subunit ribosomal RNA", at positions 29 to 507 of the family's 1533-position model. The record is from RNAcentral.